GAUGAACGCUGGCGGCGUGCUUAACACAUGCAAGUCGAACGGGAAUUACUUUAUCGAAACUUCGGUCGAUUUAAUUUAAUUCUAGUGGCGGACGGGUGAGUAACGCGUGGGUAACCUGCCUUAUACAGGGGGAUAACAGUCAGAAAUGGCUGCUAAUACCGCAUAAGCGCACAGAGCUGCAUGGCUCAGUGUGAAAAACUCCGGUGGUAUAAGAUGGACCCGCGUUGGAUUAGCUAGUUGGUGGGGUAACGGCCCACCAAGGCGACGAUCCAUAGCCGGCCUAAGAGGGAGAACGACCACAUUAGGACUGAGACACGGCCCAGACUCCUACGGAAGGCAGCAGAGGGGAAUAUUGCAAGAUGGGGGAAACACUGAUGCAUCGGCGCCGCGGGAAGGAAGAAGGAUCUCGGUAUGUAAACGUCUAUCAGCAGGGAAGAUAAUGACGGUACCUGACUAAGAAGCCCCGGCUAACUACGUGCCAGCCGCCGCCGUAA
RNAcentral lists this ribosomal RNA (494 nucleotides) under uncultured bacterium. Its description in RNAcentral is "partial 16S ribosomal RNA". It matches the Rfam family "Bacterial small subunit ribosomal RNA", at positions 28 to 523 of the family's 1533-position model. The record is from RNAcentral.